UACAGAGGGUGCAAGCGUUAAUCGGAAUGACUGGGCGUAAAGGGCGCGUAGGUGGAUAUUUAAGUGAGAUGUGAAAGCCCCGGGCUUAACCUGGGAAUGGCAUUUUAGACUGGAUAUCUGGAGUACAGUAGAGGGUGGAGGAAUUUCCGGUGUAGCGGUGAAAUGCGUAGAUAUCGGAAGGAACACCAGUGGCGAAGGCGACCACCUGGACUGAUACUGACACUGAGGCGCGAGAGCGUGGGUAGCAAACAGG
RNAcentral lists this ribosomal RNA (253 nucleotides) under uncultured bacterium. Its description in RNAcentral is "partial 16S ribosomal RNA". It matches the Rfam family "Bacterial small subunit ribosomal RNA", at positions 524 to 776 of the family's 1533-position model. The record is from RNAcentral.